CAGUAGCCGCGGUAAUACGUAGGGCGCGAGCGUUACCCGGAUUUACUGGGCGUAAAGGGCGUGUAGGCGGCCUGGGGCGUCCCAUGUGAAAGGCCACGGCUCAACUGUGGAGGAGCGUGGGAUACGCUCAGGCUAGAGGGUGGGAGAGGGUGGUGGAAUUCCCGGAGUAGCGGUGAAAUGCGCAGAUACCGGGAGGAACGCCGAUGGCGAAGGCAGCCACCUGGUCCACUUCUGACGCUGAGGCGCGAAAGCGUGGGGAGCAAACCGGAUUAGAUACCCGCGUAGUCCCUGUCUCUUAUAC
Molecule: ribosomal RNA, 301 nt
Filed under: uncultured bacterium
Lineage: Bacteria
Description: partial 16S ribosomal RNA
Rfam family: Bacterial small subunit ribosomal RNA
Source: RNAcentral